Molecule: non-coding RNA, 58 nt
Organism: Aedes albopictus (Asian tiger mosquito)
Lineage: Eukaryota; Metazoa; Arthropoda; Insecta; Diptera; Culicidae
Source: Rfam
UAGCCUAAUGGUUAAGGCUAUGGAUCGUUAAUCCGGAGAUGGCGGGUUCGAUUCCUGU